ACGACCUUACUUGAACAGGAUCUGUUCUAUAGGCUCGUACUACUGUGUCCUUGAUUUCUAAGGAGACAGGAACAUAAAUCUGGUGGAUGAAGCAUUACCGUGCGAUCAGAGCGUGAUUAACGGCCUUGAUGAUCCUCAGUUUGAGUUAUCAUUCUAAGCUGUGGGUGAUCGUUCUCGGAAGUGUUCGCACUCUCGGGGUGGUCGCUCGGUGUUCUGACAGAUU
Molecule: small nucleolar RNA, 223 nt
Organism: Lathyrus oleraceus (garden pea)
Lineage: Eukaryota; Viridiplantae; Streptophyta; Magnoliopsida; Fabales; Fabaceae
Product: small nucleolar RNA U3
Exons: 1
Source: RefSeq, a predicted model, not a curated record